This 497-nucleotide ribosomal RNA is filed under the name uncultured bacterium. Its description in RNAcentral is "partial 16S ribosomal RNA". It matches the Rfam family "Bacterial small subunit ribosomal RNA", at positions 28 to 507 of the family's 1533-position model. The record is from RNAcentral.
GAUGAACGCUGGCGGCGUGCCUAAUACAUGCAAGUCGAGCGAACGGACGAGAAGCUUGCUUCUCUGAUGUUAGCGGCGGACGGGUGAGUAACACGUGGAUAACCUACCUAUAAGACUGGGAUAACUUCGGGAAACCGGAGCUAAUACCGGAUGAUAUUUUGAACCGCAUGGUUCAAAAGUGAAAGACGGUCUUGCUGUCACUUAUAGAUGGAUCCGCGCUGCAUUAGCUAGUUGGUAAGGUAACGGCUUACCAAGGCAACGAUGCAUAGCCGACCUGAGAGGGUGAUAGGCCACACUGGAACUGAGACACGGUCCAGACUCCUACGGGAGGCAGCAGUAGGGAAUCUUCCGCAAUGGGCGAAAGCCUGACGGAGCAACGCCGCGUGAGUGAUGAAGGUCUUCGGAUCGUAAAACUCCGUUAUUAGGGAAGAACAUAUGUGUAAGUAACUGUGCACAUCUUGACGGUACCUAAUCAGAAAGCCACGGCUAACUACGUG